Long non-coding RNA from Argentina anserina (silverweed cinquefoil), 1213 nucleotides. RefSeq lists it as uncharacterized. NCBI's taxonomy places the organism in Eukaryota, Viridiplantae, Streptophyta, Magnoliopsida, Rosales, Rosaceae. The record is from RefSeq and is a predicted model, not a curated record. The transcript is spliced from 3 exons.
UUCACCGGAUGCCCUGGCCACAGUAAUGUCCACAAUGCCGCAACUCAGGUCCAUAUUGUGGCUCAGUUAGAAACAAAGAGGUGUGUAAUGCCUCCGCCAACGAUCGAACCUCUGACCAAUGCCACGUGUAAGCCAUGGUUAAAGAGUUGUCGCGGUCAUAAACCACUACACCACACCCGUGGUUCAUAAAGGUGAUAUAUAGUUUGAUUGUUUGAUGCACUUGGCAUAAUUAAGCUACUGUUUCUAUUUUGGUGGGACAACCUCAUAAACGUCAACCAGGAGUGUCUAUAUGAACUCCAUAACCAAUUACUAAACACCUUAGUAUAUACGUUCUAACUUCCAUCUUUUUCAAAUUUCUAUACAACGGGAAAAAAAAAUAAACAGCCUUCAGAAUUUAAGGAGUCACCUCAAAUGAGCAAAAGCAGCUUUGAAUGUAGGCAGUCAAAGCGUCAAGCAGAUGGUUGAAUAUAAGAAGAUACUGCGAGUUUUGUCCAGAUGUCCUUGUAGAUAUUGUAGGGAUCCUUUAGUGUAUAGGAAGAUUGCUUCUAUUAGAAUACCAGUACUUGUGCUUACAUUUUGAAAGACAUUCAUCAAUAUUAAAUUUUCUUAUUCUACUGUCCUCAAUGAGGUAACUCUCUAUGCUUUGUUUCUGUGGCUUAUAAUUUGACAGUGAAGGUGCUAUUCUUUCGAAGCUUAUAACUCAAUGGUUUGGUUGGUGUAUUUCAGACAUGGUGCUCUCACAUGGCUUCCCUGUCCUGUGAUAGCAUUAUCAUUCCCAAGCAUGAUACUCCCUGCAAAAGCUGCCAGUAUCCCCGAGGGAAUUGGCUUUGCUUGUACUGUAAGGCUAUCCUCUGUAGACAAUCUGUGAACAAGCACAUGAUUGAGCAUUACAAGAAGACGGAUCAUUGUCUUACUAUCUACUGCUGGUAAUUAAUCUGACAUAUGCUUUGUAGAUCCACGAAUUGAAGACUUCAAUUUUCCAAGCUCUUCACUUUUCUAUCGUGACUUGAUACAAAUGUCUACUGUUGUACCUUUAGUGAAGCAAAUCCAGUAGUUUAGUGUUACUCCUGCAAGGCAGAGAACAAAGUUCAUGAAGUACUUCGACGAUUGAAGGAGCUUUCUUCAUCCCCCAAGGGCAUGUCCUCAUUGAAGCUAGAGAAGCUAGAUGCUAUGAUGGUUGAUGUUGCUAAUCUCAUCUCUAUGCCAAUUCAUG